AUAUCCUGUGUCAAGAUGUGGCAUUGUGUGGCACAGUUCAUUUCUCCAGGCAACUCCUAAAGCACCAGUAUCAUCAUGCAUAGACAAUGAAGUUCGUACUUAACACAGCAUACUGCCUACAUAAUGUGACCAUGUCAUGUCUAGCAGUUUCAAAUCAAACCAUAGGGCAAGGGGGGUCAUUGAGCGUGUGGUAAUUGGAGCCGGUUUCACUUUUCCCGUAUAUACACGAAGCUUGGUCAUACAUAUGAGAUCAUCACAAUUCUUAUUGCAAGGAGGAAUAAUAUACGUCUUAUUACAGGGAGAAAUAAGUCGUCGUGAAUCAUAGAUGGUGGCGGACGAGCAUAUGUAUUAGUCCUCUUCUCAUGGUAAACAAUUACAAGGAUCACCAGCACAUCCUGGACAGUCGGGGCCGGUCCUUCCUGCAAGAACGGUUUAUGAGUUGCAACACCUUACUAUCACCAUUGUUAACACAACUUCUAGCUACUGCUUUAAGUAGAGCAAGCAUUUAUGAAGCAAAGUACACAAUGGGUCAAGAUAGAGGAAAGGUAUAAUUAAAAUAUGGCAAAAAAAAAUUAAUUAUAUCUCUUCACCAAUUUUUCAUAUAACUACCCAUAAAUUCCAAAUAUUGUUUCAUGGGUUUAUGAAAAGUUGGGGAGUAUUCAUCAAGAAUCAUGUUCGUUGGGAUCCCGACGAGCUUUCUGGCCAGUGUAAUGAUCCAAUCAAUAUGAAUAACAUUUCAAUAAUGCCUGAGAAUGCAAACUUGUAAUAGUAACUCUCAUUCCUUUUCUUUUAUAUAUAAAUUAACACAGUUGUUGCAAGAUGAUGGCUUCAGACUUGUUGAUGUAUUACUUUGUAAGGCCUUGGUGAAUAAUUAAUAAAAUGGAUGCAUGCAUCGUCCUGAUAGAGAGGCCGGGUGUCAUCCUCCUUUUUAAAAAAGCUUGUUACUUCAAUGUAAAUCAGAUUUGAAUUUAGAACACAUAGAGAGAGUAAGGAUGGAAAUAUGUGCCUGUUUCAAUGAUCAAAACCCUUAAGAACGGUCUAACAAUAGUCUAUGUCUCCAGAUAAGAAGCAAACAUUGAACUAGUGCGUGAAGUGAUACUAGUUUAUAAUAAUAAAUUUAUAGUAGGAUCUGCAACACUGAGAGUUCAGAGCACGUACUAUAUGAUUGAAAAGCCAGCACUCCAGACGGCAUCGCAACGAGCAGAAUGAUCUCCAGUAUAACAAGCAGAAGAACCAUGUUCAUCUGGCACCUCCAAGCCAUGAUGUUGCAAUAUCAAGGCUGUGCACUCACCACUCUCUUCUCUUCUCUUGUCACCCUGCUGCUUCUUGGUCUCUCUCUAUAUAUAAAGGAUUUGUUGUGCAGAAAUUUGGAAUAGCCGUAGCCGGUAUGAACGCACGCUUUACUUGAGA
This 1410-nucleotide long non-coding RNA is filed under the name Triticum aestivum (bread wheat). RNAcentral's name for it is "long non-coding RNA (TAES_LNC021670)". Lineage: Eukaryota; Viridiplantae; Streptophyta; Magnoliopsida; Poales; Poaceae. The record is from RNAcentral.